AAAUUGAAGAGUUUGAUCAUGGCUCAGAUUGAACGCUGGCGGCAGGCCUAACACAUGCAAGUCGAACGGUAACAGGAAGCAGCUUGCUGCUUCGCUGACAAGUGGCGGACGGGUGAGUAAUGUCUGGGAAACUGCCUGAUGGAGGGGGAUAACUACUGGAAACGGUGGCUAAUACCGCAUGACGUC
Molecule: ribosomal RNA, 186 nt
Filed under: Salmonella enterica subsp. enterica serovar Newport
Lineage: Bacteria; Pseudomonadati; Pseudomonadota; Gammaproteobacteria; Enterobacterales; Enterobacteriaceae
Also listed under: 1 other name
Description: partial 16S ribosomal RNA
Rfam family: Bacterial small subunit ribosomal RNA
Source: RNAcentral